CGCCUGUUUAUCAAAAACAUGUCUUUUUGUUAAUUAUUUAAGGUUUGGCCUGCUCCAUGAGUUAAAUUAAAUAGCCGCAGUAUUUUGACUGUGCAAAGGUAGCAUAAUCAUUAGUUUUUUAAUUGAAAGCUGGAAUGAAGGGUCGGAUGAGAAAGUUUCUGUCUCAAUAGUAUUUUAUUUGAAUUUUAUUUUUAAGUUAAAAAGCUUGGAUUUUAUAAAAAGACGAGAAGACCCUAUAGAGUUUAAUAGGUUUAUAUUGCAAUUAUUUUUGGGUAUUAAUUUAAUUGUUUUAUAAUUUAUUUGGUUGGGGUGACUUAAGAAUUAGAUUAACUUCUUAAUGUAUUUACAUUGAUUAAUGAAUAGUUGAUCCUUUAGUUAGGAUUAAAAGAAUAAAUUACCUUAGGGAUAACAGCGUAAUCUUUUUAGAGAGUUCUUAUCGAUAAAAGGGAUUGCGACCUCGAUGUUGGAUUAAAGUUAAAUUUUGGUGCAAAAGCUAGGAAUUUG
This 504-nucleotide ribosomal RNA is filed under the name Alosimus cirtanus. Its description in RNAcentral is "partial large subunit ribosomal RNA". It matches the Rfam family "Bacterial large subunit ribosomal RNA", at positions 1797 to 2572 of the family's 2925-position model. The record is from RNAcentral. Lineage: Eukaryota; Metazoa; Arthropoda; Insecta; Coleoptera; Meloidae.